This 504-nucleotide ribosomal RNA is filed under the name uncultured bacterium. Its description in RNAcentral is "partial 16S ribosomal RNA". It matches the Rfam family "Bacterial small subunit ribosomal RNA", at positions 30 to 523 of the family's 1533-position model. The record is from RNAcentral.
AUUGAACGCUGGCGGCAUGCCUUACACAUGCAAGUCGAACGGCAGCAUGGAGAGCUUGCUCUCUGAUGGCGAGUGGCGAACGGGUGAGUAAAGCAUCGGAACGUACCGUGUAGUGGGGGAUAACGUAGCGAAAGUUACGCUAAUACCGCAUACGCACUGAGGUGGAAAGCAGGGGAUCGCAAGACCUUGCGCUAUACGAGCGGCCGGUGUCAGAUUAGCUAGUUGGUAAGGUAAAGGCCUACCAAGGCGACGAUCUGUGGCGGGUCUGAGAGGAUGAUCCGCCACCCUGGGACUGAGACACGGCCCAGACUCCUACGGGAGGCAGCAGUGGGGAAUUUUGGACAAUGGGGGCAACCCUGAUCCAGCCAUGCCGCGUGAGUGAAGAAGGCCUUCGGGUUGUAAAGCUCUUUCGGCCGGGAAGAAAUCGCACAGGCUAAUACUCUGUGUGGAUGACGGUACCGGCAUAAGAAGCACCGGCUAACUACGUGCCAGCCGCCGCCGUAA